CAAGACAUUGGCACAGCUGUGUUUUAAAAGUAAAAGCGCGUUUCUUGAAUUGCUGGAAUGUGGUUCAUUGUUACAUUCUUUUGUUCUGCAUUGCCUGCUGCGUGCUGAAGGUUCUUGGUGCUCGGAGGCAUAUUGCCAUGGGCAUUUGUCCACUUGCUCUUGAGGUGACAACACACUGUUAACUGGUGUUAGUUACCACCAGACCACCAUUUUGUUCGAGUUUGGUGGUUUUAUUUUUCGUCACACACCGUGGACUUAUUGGGUUGUGUUGUAGUAAGACUGUUGGCCAGGCCCGGAGGCGGAUCGUUUCGCUCGGGAUACUUUCUUCUACUUGAUAUGACUACGCACUUUGGCUUUUUCGGCUUCACUGUUCGUAGACGUCAAUGUAAAACAGCGAUUAAGUGACGCAAGUUGAUGAGCCAACUUAGAAGACUGCCUUGUAAAUGUGAUACGGGAUGGACAAGUUGAGUUGCAACUGAAUUGAGACGAUAUAAGACAAGCUCAAGAUUCAGGCAGAAUGAUGCGGUGGUGAGUAUAAUUAAGAGUAAGACUUGGUAGAGUUUGUGUCGAAUUCUUUUGUAAACGUAGUAUUGGUGUGAUUACCAACCCGUAGUUUUCCACUCAGAUUACACCGGGUAAUGAGUGACGGCGUAUAAACUGAGUUUACAUUUCAUCCACAAGUGCAAAGUUAUGGAGCAAGAAAAGAAAAAGCGUAGGAGUUUACAACGAGAAAAAGGGAGAAAAAGCCGAACCUUUUCUUGUGGUGUUGUUUCGAAUUAGGUUCUUUCACACGUCGCACUUUUCGUUUAG
This is a long non-coding RNA of Acanthaster planci (crown-of-thorns starfish), 810 nucleotides long. The record is from RefSeq and is a predicted model, not a curated record. NCBI's taxonomy places the organism in Eukaryota, Metazoa, Echinodermata, Asteroidea, Valvatida, Acanthasteridae.